AAUCCAUAGGUUAAUGAGGCGAACCGGGGGAACUGAAACAUCUAAGUACCCCGAGGAAAAGAAAUCAACCGAGAUUCCCCCAGUAGCGGCGAGCGAACGGGGAGGAGCCCAGAGCCUGAAUCAGCAUGUGUGUUAGUGGAAGCGUCUGGAAAGGCGCGCGAUACAGGGUGACAGCCCCGUACACAAAAGCGCAUGUGCUGUGAGCUCGAUGAGUAGGGCGGGACACGUGGUAUCCUGUCUGAAUAUGGGGGGACCAUCCUCCAAGGCUAAAUACUCCUGACUGACCGAUAGUGAACCAGUACCGUGAGGGAAAGGCGAAAAGAACCCCGGCGAGGGGAGUGAAAAAGAACCUGAAACCGUGUACGUACAAGCAGUGGGAGCACAGGUUUACCUGUGUGACUGCGUACCUUUUGUAUAAUGGGUCAGCGACUUAUAUUCUGUAGCAAGGUUAACCGUAUAGGGGAGCCGUAGGGAAACCGAGUCUUAACCGGGCGUUAAGUUGCAGGGUAUAGACCCGAAACCCGGUGAUCUAGCC
RNAcentral lists this ribosomal RNA (535 nucleotides) under Salmonella enterica subsp. enterica serovar Mbandaka. RNAcentral's name for it is "partial 23S ribosomal RNA". It matches the Rfam family "Bacterial large subunit ribosomal RNA", at positions 161 to 735 of the family's 2925-position model. Lineage: Bacteria; Pseudomonadati; Pseudomonadota; Gammaproteobacteria; Enterobacterales; Enterobacteriaceae. The record is from RNAcentral.